This 1369-nucleotide ribosomal RNA is filed under the name uncultured bacterium. Its description in RNAcentral is "bacterial SSU rRNA". It matches the Rfam family "Bacterial small subunit ribosomal RNA", at positions 28 to 1381 of the family's 1533-position model. The record is from RNAcentral.
GACGAACGCUGGCGGCGUGCCUAAUACAUGCAAGUAGAACGCUGAAGAGAGGAGCUUGCUCUUCUUGGAUGAGUUGCGAACGGGUGAGUAACGCGUAGGUAACCUGCCUUGUAGCGGGGGAUAACUAUUGGAAACGAUAGCUAAUACCGCAUAACAAUGGAUGACACAUGUCAUUUAUUUGAAAGGGGCAAUUGCUCCACUACAAGAUGGACCUGCGUUGUAUUAGCUAGUAGGUGAGGUAAUGGCUCACCUAGGCGACGAUACAUAGCCGACCUGAGAGGGUGAUCGGCCACACUGGGACUGAGACACGGCCCAGACUCCUACGGGAGGCAGCAGUAGGGAAUCUUCGGCAAUGGGGGCAACCCUGACCGAGCAACGCCGCGUGAGUGAAGAAGGUUUUCGGAUCGUAAAGCUUUGUUGUAAGUCAAGAACGGGUGUGAGAGUGGAAAGUUCACACUGUGACGGUAGCUUACCAGAAAGGGACGGCUAACUACGUGCCAGCAGCCGCGGUAAUACGUAGGUCCCGAGCGUUGUCCGGAUUUAUUGGGCGUAAAGCGAGCGCAGGCGGUUUGAUAAGUCUGAAGUUAAAGGCUGUGGCUCAACCAUAGUUCGCUUUGGAAACUGUCAAACUUGAGUGCAGAAGGGGAGAGUGGAAUUCCAUGUGUAGCGGUGAAAUGCGUAGAUAUAUGGAGGAACACCGGUGGCGAAAGCGGCUCUCUGGUCUGUAACUGACGCUGAGGCUCGAAAGCGUGGGGAGCGAACAGGAUUAGAUACCCUGGUAGUCCACGCCGUAAACGAUGAGUGCUAGGUGUUGGAUCCUUUCCGGGAUUCAGCGCCGCAGCUAACGCAUUAAGCACUCCGCCUGGGGAGUACGACCGCAAGGUUGAAACUCAAAGGAAUUGACGGGGGCCCGCACAAGCGGUGGAGCAUGUGGUUUAAUUCGAAGCAACGCGAAGAACCUUACCAGGUCUUGACAUCCCGAUGCUAUUUCUAGAGAUAGAAAGUUACUUCGGUACAUCGGUGACAGGUGGUGCAUGGUUGUCGUCAGCUCGUGUCGUGAGAUGUUGGGUUAAGUCCCGCAACGAGCGCAACCCCUAUUGUUAGUUGUCAUCAUUCAGUUGGGCACUCUAGCGAGACUGCCGGUAAUAAACCGGAGGAAGGUGGGGAUGACGUCAAAUCAUCAUGCCCCUUAUGACCUGGGCUACACACGUGCUACAAUGGUUGGUACAACGAGUUGCGAGUCGGUGACGGCGAGCUAAUCUCUUAAAGCCAAUCUCAGUUCGGAUUGUAGGCUGCAACUCGCCUACAUGAAGUCGGAAUCGCUAGUAAUCGCGGAUCAGCACGCCGCGGUGAAUACGUUCCCGGGCCU